AGUGAACGCUGGCGGUAGGCCUAACACAUGCAAGUCGAACGGCAGCACAGUAAGAGCCUGCUCUUACGGGUGGCGAGUGGCGGACGGGUGAGGAAUACAUCGGAAUCUACUUUUUCGUGGGGGAUAACGUAGGGAAACUUACGCUAAUACCGCAUACGACCUACGGGUGAAAGCAGGGGAUCUUCGGACCUUGCGCGAUUGAAUGAGCCGAUGUCGGAUUAGCUAGUUGGCGGGGUAAAGGCCCACCAAGGCGACGAUCCGUAGCUGGUCUGAGAGGAUGAUCAGCCACACUGGAACUGAGACACGGUCCAGACUCCUACGGGAGGCAGCAGUGGGGAAUAUUGGACAAUGGGCGCAAGCCUGAUCCAGCCAUACCGCGUGGGUGAAGAAGGCCUUCGGGUUGUAAAGCCCUUUUGUUGGGAAAGAAAAGCAGCAGGUUAAUACCCCGCUGUUCUGACGGUACCCAAAGAAUAAGCACCGGCUAACUUCGUGC
This 493-nucleotide ribosomal RNA is filed under the name uncultured bacterium. RNAcentral's name for it is "partial 16S ribosomal RNA". It matches the Rfam family "Bacterial small subunit ribosomal RNA", at positions 29 to 508 of the family's 1533-position model. The record is from RNAcentral.